CCCGAUGUUUUCCUCCGGCUCCUAUUUUACCCAGUGAGUAAAUACUUGCUCUUCAGCCAAGUAACUUGCCAAGGACUAUACUUCUGUGAAAAACUCUGUUUCCUAGUUUUUUCUUUUGUUUCCUAGUUUGUUCCUUUGUUGUUUCCUGUUAAACUCUGUUGUGUUAUGCUAACAGGUUGACAAGGAUGAGGAUACUUACCAGAAUGAGAGGAGGUAUGAAGAGUUUUGUGAAGCUAGAAUGAAGCUUCCACUUGGAUAUGAGUUGUGCACUGUAUGUUUUUAAUUUGAAGAGCCCUGGAGACAUGGAAAUGCAGUAGUACGUUCUGGGAAUGUAAGUUAAUCAGUAAUGAAUUAAUAGUAGCUUAUUUCAUCUUCUUGAGCAUAACUGAGUUUUGACCUGCAGAUGCUCUCUCAUUUCAAUUGCCACAACACUCCAGGUGUCAAAUGUGGUGAAGAAUUAUGUACGGUUAGGUUCCGCAGCUGUGAACAUCAGCAGUUAUACAGAUCCUAUUGCACAAGUAUUUGGGAGGUAAGGUGACUCCUUCUCAUGUGCAUGCUGAAAGAAAUGAUGUGAUAGUUGAUACUAACUUUUGUUAUUGUUAAUGUAGACCAAGCCAAAGUUGCGGUAUGACAGGUUUUGUCGAGGUAGGGUGUAGUAACAAUCUGUUUGGAAGAUUCGCAGCAGCUAAAGGUGUCUGCAAGUAUGGCCUGAGAUUGAAGAACCACAUGGUGUGCUAAUAAAAGCUACAAAGAGAUGAACUAUUGUAUGCUUUUGUUGGAUGAUGGGUUGACAUGUCGUGUGAGAGUGAUGUCAAAUGACAAACUGUGAGCCUAGUGCGAUCAUGUUGUUGAGAAAAUGGUUUUCUUGGAUGAUGUUCUGCAGCUACUGUGGAAGUUAUAUUUACUUUGAUCGUUCAGAAUAUGUUUGCUGGAAU
Molecule: long non-coding RNA, 935 nt
Filed under: Triticum aestivum (bread wheat)
Lineage: Eukaryota; Viridiplantae; Streptophyta; Magnoliopsida; Poales; Poaceae
Description: long non-coding RNA (TAES_LNC028602)
Source: RNAcentral